AUGGCCGCCGCCCCCUCCCCUUCCACCGUGGCCGCCGCCCCCUAUCGCCCGACGGCAAGCCCGCCCUCCCAUCCCCCUUUCCUCUGGUUGCCCUCACGCACUGCAUCGCCUCCUGGUCGCCCUCUCUCUCUCUCUCUGUAUUCCCCCCUGCCGCCGCCACCACGGCCAACUCCGGCGAGGUCGGUCGCCAUAUAG
This 195-nucleotide ribosomal RNA is filed under the name Triticum aestivum (bread wheat). Its description in RNAcentral is "partial small subunit ribosomal RNA". Lineage: Eukaryota; Viridiplantae; Streptophyta; Magnoliopsida; Poales; Poaceae. The record is from RNAcentral.